Biomphalaria pfeifferi is the source of this 768-nucleotide non-coding RNA. The record is from the annotation of a GenBank genome assembly. Lineage: Eukaryota; Metazoa; Mollusca; Gastropoda; Planorbidae.
AUUUCCACAAAUAAAUGAAUACAUUAUGAUUUGAAUAAAUAUAUCUAUAGAUUAAAUUAUAUAAUAUAGUCAUAGAAUAGCUUGGAUAUAAUACAGGUACAAAAAAAAAGCACUGUCUCACAAGUACACAUAUAUACAAUUUUAUUUAACUACUACUAUAAUUAUGAAUGUACACAAGUUAUUUAUUUGACAUUAUUUCAAACAUUCUAGGUAAACCUGCCUAUGUGCAAAAUGCGAAAGAUCCUGAUUAGGUACUUUUAGAAUAGCCCAAGGGGUUUCAUGAUGAAAGUGCACACCAGAGAAUACCGCUGCAAUGUGUAAUCAAACCGACAGAAGGGAUAUCUUCAGUCAUUUUAAAUAAUAAUAAAGAUAUCGCCCUGUUUCAUGCAAUAGCCACCAGCUUAUAUUUUUUGUUGGCAGACACGUAUAUGGUGCCGGAAAUGCCUUUGGUGUACAAAUUUAUAGACUUGUGUAUUAUCAUCUGGAGAUGCAAAACAAAUGUGUGUCUUGAAGGAAACAUGAAUUUUGUAUUUUGUACUACAGUGAUAUCCUCAACACUAUCAACUAGAGAAAGAACUAGUCAGUAUGACCAAUGAACUGGUCAUGAUGAAAGAGCAAGAAUCAGUGGCACCUUUAGGUUUGUUUUGUCUUUUUUCCCCCAAUUCGAUGCUUAAGUCCAUUGGAAAGACAGACUUAGAAAAAAAAAAACACAUUUAUAAGAAAAAAAAAUAGGGGGGGGGGGGAGGAAUUGCAAGACACUUUAGGAAC